CGGAGAGUUUGAUCCUGGCUCAGGACGAACGCUGGCGGCGUGCUUAACACAUGCAAGUCGAACGGAAAGGCCCUGCUUUUGUGGGGUGCUCGAGUGGCGAACGGGUGAGUAACACGUGAGUAACCUGCCCUUGACUUUGGGAUAACUUCAGGAAACUGGGGCUAAUACCGGAUAGGAGCUCCUGCUGCAUGGUGGGGGUUGGAAAGUUUCGGCGGUUGGGGAUGGACUCGCGGCUUAUCAGCUUGUUGGUGGGGUAGUGGCUUACCAAGGCUUUGACGGGUAGCCGGCCUGAGAGGGUGACCGGCCACAUUGGGACUGAGAUACGGCCCAGACUCCUACGGGAGGCAGCAGUGGGGAAUAUUGCACAAUGGGCGGAAGCCUGAUGCAGCAACGCCGCGUGCGGGAUGACGGCCUUCGGGUUGUAAACCGCUUUCGCCUGUGACGAAGCGUGAGUGACGGUAAUGGGUAAAGAAGCACCGGCUAACUACGUGCCAGCAGCCGCGGUGAUACGUAGGGUGCGAGCGUUGUCCGGAUUUAUUGGGCGUAAAGGGCUCGUAGGUGGUUGAUCGCGUCGGAAGUGUAAUCUUGGGGCUUAACCCUGAGCGUGCUUUCGAUACGGGUUGACUUGAGGAAGGUAGGGGAGAAUGGAAUUCCUGGUGGAGCGGUGGAAUGCGCAGAUAUCAGGAGGAACACCAGUGGCGAAGGCGGUUCUCUGGGCCUUUCCUGACGCUGAGGAGCGAAAGCGUGGGGAGCGAACAGGCUUAGAUACCCUGGUAGUCCACGCUGUAAACGGUGGGUACUAGGUGUGGGGUCCAUUCCACGGGUUCCGUGCCGUAGCUAACGCUUUAAGUACCCCGCCUGGGGAGUACGGCCGCAAGGCUAAAACUCAAAGGAAUUGACGGGGCCCCGCACAAGCGGCGGAGCAUGCGGAUUAAUUCGAUGCAACGCGUAGAACCUUACCUGGGUUUGACAUGGAUCGGGAGUGCUCAGAGAUGGGUGUGCCUCUUUUGGGGUCGGUUCACAGGUGGUGCAUGGCUGUCGUCAGCUCGUGUCGUGAGAUGUUGGGUUAAGUCCCGCAGCGAGCGCAACCCUUGUUCACUGUUGCCAGCACGUUAUGGUGGGGACUCAGUGGAGACCGCCGGGGUCAACUCGGAGGAAGGUGGGGAUGACGUCAAGUCAUCAUGCCCCUUAUGUCCAGGGCUUCACGCAUGCUACAAUGGCUGGUACAGAGAGUGGCGAGCCUGUGAGGGUGAGCGAAUCUCGGAAAGCCGGUCUCAGUUCGGAUUGGGGUCUGCAACUCGACCUCAUGAAGUCGGAGUCGCUAGUAAUCGCAGAUCAGCAACGCUGCGGUGAAUACGUUCCCGGGGCUUGUACACACCGCCCGUCAAGUCAUGAAAGUUGGUAACACCCGAAGCCGGUGGCCUAACCGUUGUGGGGGAGCCGUCGAAGGUGGGACUGGUGAUUAGGACUAAGUCGUAACAAGGUAGCCGUA
This 1492-nucleotide ribosomal RNA is filed under the name uncultured bacterium. RNAcentral's name for it is "bacterial SSU rRNA". It matches the Rfam family "Bacterial small subunit ribosomal RNA". The record is from RNAcentral.